GUCUACAGCCAUGCCACCCUGAACAAGCCCGAUCCUGUUUGAUCUCGGAAGCUAAGCAGGGUGGGGCCUGGUUAGUACUUGGAUGAGAGACCACCUAGGAAGACCAGGUGCUGUAGGCA
Molecule: ribosomal RNA, 119 nt
Filed under: Pteropus alecto (black flying fox)
Lineage: Eukaryota; Metazoa; Chordata; Mammalia; Chiroptera; Pteropodidae
Source: RNAcentral